UGCAGUUAAAAAGCUCGUAGUUGGAUUUCGGAGUGGGCCAGUUGGUCCGCCGCAAGGUGUGUUACUGACUGGUUUGCUCUUCUUCGCAAAGACUGCGUGUGCUCUUCAGUGAGUGUGCGUAGGAUUUACGACGUUUACUUUGAAAAAAUUAGAGUGUUCAAAGCAGGCUAUUGCUUGAAUACAUGAGCGUGGAAUAAUGGAAUAGGACUUUGGUCCCAUUUUGUUGGUUUCUAGGGCCGAGGUAAUGAUUAAGAGGGACAAUUGGGGGCAUCCGUAUUUCGUUGUCAGAGGUGAAAUUCUUGGAUUUACGAAAGACGAACAAACUGCGAAAGCACUUGCCAAGAGUGUUUUCAUUAAUCAAGAACGAAAGUUAGAGGAUCGAAGACGAUCCGAUACCGUCCUAGUUCUACCCAUANCGAUGUGACUAGGGAUCAGCGGGCGUUAU
RNAcentral lists this ribosomal RNA (445 nucleotides) under uncultured eukaryote. RNAcentral describes it as "SSU rRNA". It matches the Rfam family "Eukaryotic small subunit ribosomal RNA", at positions 614 to 1066 of the family's 1831-position model. The record is from RNAcentral.